Callithrix jacchus (white-tufted-ear marmoset) is the source of this 6979-nucleotide non-coding RNA. Lineage: Eukaryota; Metazoa; Chordata; Mammalia; Primates; Cebidae. The record is from RefSeq and is a predicted model, not a curated record.
GAGAGGAAACAGGCGACGGUGGCCGGUAGUGGGCCUAAUCUCUUGGGACUGCGCUGCGCGCUCCCGGUGGGAUGCGCCUGCGCAUUAUGCUGGUCUCCAUGGCGGGGCCUCGGAGCCAAGACGAGAGAAAAUGCUUCUGUGAAGACACAAAGCUUUCACAUAAAUGAAGCUACAGCUAUCAUGAUUUAGUGACCCCAAAAGUAAGAACUUCCGUGGAUAAGAAAGGACAUUUAUUGGGUUAGUAGAAUGCUUGAGGCCUGAAAUUUAAACCUGAGCCACUAUCUGAAGCUAUUAAAUCAUAGAAGAAAAUGGAAUUGAAUAUGAUGUCAGCAUGGAACAAUCUAAUGAUUCAUUGAGAGCCAACCAUAAUGAUGGUGAAGAGUCAAAAACCGAUGCUCAGGUAUUUGAGCAUCUAACCUGUAUGGGCUCCAGGGAUUCUUCUUUUGAACAAAAUGAUUCUCCUAGAGUUUUGCCGAUCACUGCUCCUGAAGCAAAUAAUUCACUCACAUCACAGAAUAUACCAGGGACCCUGACUCAGACACAGACUCUUUCUGCAGAAAAAUUCCACCUAGUCGACCAAAAUGAGCAAGCUGUUCAAUACGAACUUCAGUCGUUGGGGGAUUCCAGUGCACAAAUGAUGAUCAUUGCCAGCCCAUCAGAAAAUGGACAGGUACUUCGUGUAAUUCCAUCUACCCAGACAGGAAUGGCACAAGUGAUUAUACCGCAGGGGCAGCUUGUGGAUGUGAAUAGUACUCAGGAUGUCCCUGAAGAGAAACCUAGUGACAGAAACUUAUCAACUGUAAGCGUGGAUACUCUAGCAGACAAUCCUAGCAAUUACAUUCUUCAUCCACAGUCAUCCUUCACAUUGCCCAAAAAGUCAGUAACCAGAAUGCUGGAAGAACCUCUUCUGGCGCCUCUUCAGCCACUUUCCUCUAACACACCUAUAUGGGCCUGCCGUCUCAGGAGCUGUGAGAAAAUUGGAGAUUCAUACCGUGGCUACUGUGUAAGUGAGACUGAAUUAGAAAGUGUCCUAACCUUUCACAAGCAGCAAACACAGAGUGUUUGGGGAACUCGUCAGUCUCCAAGCCCAGCCAAGCCUGCUACACGCUUGAUGUGGAAAUCCCAGUAUGUCCCAUAUGAUGGAAUCCCGUUUGUUAAUGCAGGGAGUAGAGCUGUGGUAAUGGAGUGUCAGUAUGGGCCAAGAAGAAAAGGUUUCCAGUUAAAAAAAAUCAGUGAGCAGGAAAGCAGGUCUUGUCAGCUCUACAAAGCCACUUGUCCAGCUCGGAUUUACAUUAAAAAGGUACAGAAGUUUCCUGAAUAUAGAGUUCCUACAGACCCCAAAAUUGACAAGAAAAUUAUCAGAAUGGAGCAGGAGAAAGCCUUUAACAUGCUAAAGAAGAACAUGGUAGAUGCUGGUGGUGUUCUUAGGUGGUAUGUACAGUUACCCACACAGCAAGCUCAUCAGUAUCAUGAAUUAGAGACUCCCUGCCUCCCUUUGUCACCUUCUCCUUUUCCUGUGUCUGCUCUUGAAGAAGAGGAAACUGCAGUUAGAGAUGAGAAUUGUGCAUUACCCUCACGUUUACAUCCUCAAGUAGCACAUAAGAUUCAAGAAUUAGUAUCACAGGGAAUAGAACAAGUAUAUGCAGUAAGGAAACAGCUAAGAAAAUUUGUGGAAAGGGAACUGUUCAAACCUGAUGAGGUACCUGAAAGACAUAACUUAUCUUUUUUUCCAACUGUAAAUGAUAUAAAAAAUCACAUCCAUGAGGUACAGAAAUCCUUGCGAAAUGGAGAUAUGGUAUAUAACUCAGAGAUUAUUCCAGCAACGCUUCAGUGGACUACAGACAGUGGGAAUAUUCUCAAAGAGACCGUGACAGUUACAUUUGCAGAAGGAAAUGCACCAGAAGAAUCAAUUACUACCAAAAUGGAAACAAAUCUGACAGGGGGUUCUUUGUCUCCUGAGCCAACCCACUUGCUCUCCUCACUGUCCUCAUUUCAGCCCAAAAUAUUUACACAGCUACAGGAUUUGCAGUUACAACCAAGGUUCACCUCUCCUGAUGAAUCACCAGCUCUGGUAUCAGUAAAUAACCAGCCAUCCUCUAGUCCUUCAGGACUUCUGAAUUCAAUAGGAAGUGCUGUAAUGAAUAAUAAUUCUCUACUGCUUGAUCAAACUCAUAGCCUUCAAAGAGAUACAUGCCUAACCCAAAACAAUAGUACUGCCUCCACCAUGAGUAACCUUCCAGAACCAGAUCAAAAUCUAGUUGCAAUGGACCAGCUGGUAGACGUUGGAGAUGUUGAGGAUACAGGGAAUCUGGAAGGAACUGUUCAUCAGAUUCUGCUGGGAGAUGUGCAGACUAUUCCAAUACGGAUUAUAGACAACCACUCAGCUCUUAUUGAAGAAAAUCCAGAAAGUACGAUUUCUGUGAGCCCAGUUAAGCAAGAACCCAAAGAACCAACAUUAUCUAUGGAAGCAAAAAAAAAUUUGGACUGUAAGAAAUUAUCUGCUACAUAAGUUAUUGAAGCUUUUCAGAAUUUACAACUCUGGUGACUUCUGAUGUCUUAGAAAAGAAGUUGUGAAGAAAUUUUUAAUUGGCAGACAGGUAAGAAAAUGUUUAUAAUCUCUCUCAUUAAGAAAGAUAAAGUAAUAGAUUUUACAUCGUAACACAAAGUGCAGCAGCUACAUCUGUGGAAAGGAAACUGUGCAGUUGCAUUUUAGCCUUUUUUAAUUUUUGUACUUUUAACUACAAAUCAAUAGUAUACUAAUGGUUAUCUAAUAGAAAUUUAAAGUGUCUUGGUAAAUACUGAGAAUUUUUACUUGAAUUAAUCAGAUAAGCAACAGAAAUCAACAUAUGUAGCAUGGAUUUGUGCUAUAUUGGAAGUAAAACACUAUAGAUAUUAAUAUGUAGAAAUUGAGAGAAUUGAGAAAGAUUAAUAGAAUUCCUUGGUGUUUACAGAUAAUUUGGGGAACUUUUUUGAUGACAGCAGAGGAUUUUUUCCCCCUUACUUUGUAAUGAAGAUCCAGCUCUGGUUAAAAAAGAAUUUGAUUUGUAGUUACAUUUUUCUGUGCCAGAGCUCUUACUGAAUUAAUGGUAUUAGGAUUUCUAGUAUUUUAAGGUAAGUAUUUAUAGUUCAAAAUUUAGUUUAUAUUUAAAACUUUAAAAUAACUCUUCUGGGAUAUUUUCAAGUAAGUAUAUUAAUUUAAAAUACCAAAUAAGUACUAAGCAGUAUAUUCAUUAUAAGCAUCUGUUGUCUAAAGAUUGGUAAACUAGGCUGGGUGUGGUGGCUCAUGCCUGUAAUCCUAGCACUUUGGGAGGCUGAGGUGGGUGGAUCACCUUAGGUCAGGAGUUUGAGACCAGCCUGGCCAACACGGUGAAACCCAGUCUCUACUAAAAAUACAAAAAUUAGCUGGAUGUGGUGGCAGGUGCCUGUAAUCCCAGCUACUUGGGAGGCUGAGGCAGGAGAAUCGGUUGAACCUGUGAGGUGGAGGUUGCAGUGAGCUGAGAUUGCACCAUUGCACUUCAGCCUGGGCAACGAGAGAAGAAUCUCUGUCUCAAAAAAAAGAAAAGAAAAAGAAAAAAGAUUGGUAAACUAGAAAUAUCAAUUAUAAUUGUUGGGAAAUUAACCUAAAGGUUUUUGUUUUCUCCAGAGACCAUUUGUGGGUAUAUUUUAUAUUUUAAAAAUAAAGAUUUUAAAUGGAUAUUAAUAGUUAAUAUUCAAAGCAUGCACAAUAUAUCAAAUUUAACCUUAACACUUUACAUGAAUAUGAGUCAUUUUCGGCUUUUCUAAGUCCAGCCUCCCAUUCUUAAUUCACUUUGUUUCAGGUACAUGACAUAUAUCUAAUUAUAAAGUACUGUUAUAGUAGAGGUAGGUGGAAUUCUAAUGUUCCUUGCCCUUUAGAUUUAUAUUUUAUUUAAUAUAAAGUUUAUUAUUUAUACCCUAUUUAAUGCAAAGCUAAUAUUUAAUUAUAUGUAUGAUUUUUUUAAUAAAAAUUAAUUUUCAUUUUCCUAAGAAUUGAAAAUAUUUGAUGUCAGCAUUUUAUAGAGGCAGGUUGCCAAAUUUGAUUGUGUUAUACUAAGUUAAACACAGCUCUUAGUUACCUCAAAUCCAGAUUUCUCUUAAUCUGUGUGUACAUAAAAGGAAUAAGUUCAGAAUAAUUUAUAGUUUAGUGUUGAACAAUAGGUAAUAUUCUUUUCAUUUACUCUAGUUUUUAUGGGAUCCUUUUCUUUCAAGAUUCUAAAUAAUAAAUCUUCACCUCUCAAUAGUGGUAAUGGUUUAUUAGCUAUUUCACCAAUUGAACUAUAUUCUUUUGGAGACACUCCUUUCUUUUUUGAUGUUGAGUUGCUAAGGAGAAAUGCUUGUUAAUAUACAAACUCCAGUCAGUUACUUGUAAGGAUGAGACAUGUCAGAGGAUUCAGACUUUGGUAUAGUUAAAAAAUAUUUUUCUCACUUCAUUCUGUGUGAAAGUCUCUUCUGAUACUGUUUUUUAAUCAGAAAGUUAACAGUGCAACUUUUCCACAAUCCAAAAAACAAAACAAAACCCCACAAAAACCGAGAGCAUGAAGAAAAGUUUAAAUCCCUAAUUAUAUACUCUUUUGGUUUUUAGGUAGAAACUGGAGCUAUCAGUAUGUUCAUGUAAGUAUUUAAAUGAGUAGCUCUUUAAAAAGCGAUUCAUUGUCAUCUAAAUGCAUGUUUAGUCACAAUGUAUCAGUAUUGUGUUUAAAGGUGCUCAGCAUCACUUUUUGAAAACUAUGUUUACAUAUUUAAAAUGUUUAAUUAUUUUUAAAUGUAUAGGGUAUUAAAUACAAGUUCCUAAAAUUUUUAGGAUCUAUGUUGGCAUUCUCCUAACAGCUCUACAGCAAAGUUUGACAUAGUGUUUUGUGUGUCACGUAUUAUAAGGUGUAAUAUCUGUAGGAGUGAGUUGGACAUUCAAAAUUAGCAGUAAGAAAUUCACAAUUACAGCUCAGCUUGUUUAUUCAUUAUACUUUUGACAUUCCCAACCUCCAAGUGAACUUUAUAUAUACUACAGUGAAUUAUAGGUAGAUAUAGCCUUGGUGGACCUGUGCCUCAAUAGCAAUUUUCUGUACAAAUAGUUAGCAUACUUAAAAGGAAAAGCUUUUGUAUCUUAUGCAAGGUAAAUGUUUCCUAAAUGUCACAAAAGUGAUAGAAAACAUAGCUUUUGGGAUCUGGUCCUGCAUUGGAGUUUCGAAUUCUAAGGCCCACCAGCUUGUGUUUCAUCUUUAUAUCCUGUCAGAAUACAUACUUAAUAAUGUGGGUAUGAGAAAGAUGUUGUUUAACUUGUACCAGGUUUAAAAAAGAGAUUUUUAAAAACGUGUGUGUGUGUGUAGCAAUUUAAUGUAUAGUGCCCUUGUUAUGUAUUUUUUUCAUUAUUUUUCUUAUACUUGUUAAUUUUCUUUUUAUAAUUUCCUUAGAGAUAGUAGCAAUUUUGUUCAUCUUGAAGAUGCUGAAUAAACACUUUAAUACCUGAGAAUUUUGACCAGAGAUUUAUGUCCAGUUGGGACCCUGAAAGUGCUAAGCGUAACUACCAGUAACUCCUAUUAGUAUUAUGUUUUGGGGAGAUAUAUAUAUGCAUUUAAUACCCUGCAACUCAGCCAAGCAUAAACAUUUUAAAACAAUGCAUGUAAUAAGUAAUUCUUUCUCCCCACCCCCUGACAUUUUGUCACCAUGAUAUUUUCAAGUACAGCUUUGUAUUUUAGGAGUAAUGACAAAGUAUGUGGUCAAAAGAGAAGAGAUUAUUAAUUUUUUCCCUCUUUGCUUUUUUCUUUUUUAAACUUUAUUCUACUCUGUACCUAUUUUCGAGGACCUUGGAAAUCUUAAUCUCUCCAGAAGGGAUACUGCAUUGGCUCUUCUCCAUCAGCUGUCUUAGACAUUUAAACACCUUAAAUGAUACACUGUUUUAGUAUUUAAAAAUCUAUAAUUCUACUUAAUUAACUUAGUCAUAAGGACAAAGCCUUAGUAUACUUUUGCCACAUACAUGUUAGCUAUGAGUUUUACUGUUGAAUAAUACAAGUAUUCAUUGCUGACUGAAUUCUUAAAACUUCACAAAUAAAAAAACUUAUUUAUUAAUGGAUGCUAAAGUGAUUCCUGAGAAAAAUAAAUAAUUUGUAUGGUUAACAUGGAAAACCUUUGGUAAUGUGAUAUGGGUAUAAGAAUACUUGGCUGGGCAUGGUAGCUCAUGCCUGUAAUCCCAGCACUUUGGGAGGCCAAGGCAGGCGGAUCACUGGAGGUCAAGAGUUCAAGACCAGUUUGGCCAACAUGGUGAAACCCUGUCUCUACUAAAAAUACAAAAGUAGCCAGGCAUAGUGAUGGGCACCUGUAAUCCCAUCUACUUGGGAGGCUGAGGCAAGAGAAUCACUUGAACCUGGAAGGCAGAGGUUUUAGUGAGUGGAGAUCACAUCAUUGCACUCCAGCCUGGGCAACAAGAGCAAGACUCCAUCUCAAAAAAAAAAAAAAAGAAUACUAAAACCAGAAGACAGAGUGGGAAUCAUGUACCAGGAGGGUUUUUAUUUUUAAAUAUCUUUAUUGAGGUAUAAUUGAAAUACAAUAAAUUGUACAUAUUUAAAGUAUUCAAUCUGUUAAGUUUUGUCAUAUGUAUACAGCCAUGAAAUCAUCACCAUAAUCAAGAUAAUGAACAUAUUCAUCACCUGCAAAAGUUUGUAGUACCUCUUUGUCAUCCAUGCUUACUUAAUCCUCCUUGCCUCCCACCCCAUCCCACCAUCACCUGACGACUGAUCUGCUUUCUUUAAUAUCAGUUUGCUGCAAAUGAAAUCAUAUUGUAUGAACCUUUUUUGGUCUUGCUUUUGUCACUCAGCAUAGUAAUUUUGUGAUUUGUCUAUAUUGUAGCAUUUAUGAAUAAAUCAUUUGCUGCUGAGUAGUAUUUUAUGAAUAUAUCAUAAUUUGUUUAUUCUUUUGAUGAUGGAUAUUAAUAAAUCUAGGCUAUUUUGAAUAAAGUUUCCAUGAACAU